This 466-nucleotide ribosomal RNA is filed under the name uncultured bacterium. RNAcentral's name for it is "partial 16S ribosomal RNA". It matches the Rfam family "Bacterial small subunit ribosomal RNA", at positions 28 to 522 of the family's 1533-position model. The record is from RNAcentral.
GAUGAAUGCUGGCGGCGUGCUUAACACAUGCAAGUCGAGCGGUAACAGGAGUAGUUUACUACUUGCUGACGAGCGGCGGACGGCUGAGUAACGCGUGGGAACAUGCCCCAAAGUGAGGAAUAACUGCCCGAAAGGGUAGCUAAUGCCGCAUAUGAUCUUCGGAUUAAAGGAUUUAUCCGCUUUGGGAGUGGCCUGCGUAUGAUUAGGUAGUUGGUGAGGUAAUGGCUCACCAAGCCGACGAUCAUUAGCUGGUCUGAGAGGAUGACCAGCCAGACUGGAACUGAGACACGGUCCAGACUCCUACGGGAGGCAGCAGUGAGGAAUAUUCCACAAUGGGCGAAAGCCUGAUGGAGCAACGCCGCGUGAAGGAUGAAGGCCCUCGGGUUGUAAACUUCUUUUAUAAGUGAAGAAUAUGACGGUAACUUAUGAAUAAGCACCGGCUAACUACGUGUCAGCCGCCGCAGUA